CCUUGUCCUGAGGGCCGCGCGUGGGGCCUGGGGGACGUCCCGUGUGGGGGAGGCCGGGCCGGGACACGGGGACAGCCCGAGGGACCAGGGACAGCCCGAAGGACCAGGGGCAGCCUGCCGCGGGACAGCAGGGCAACAAUCCGCGCCUGAUGCCUCAUGUGCCGUGCCGUGGCCUGCCUGGCCCGCUCAGUGCUUCCUGACCCCUCCGCAGCCCCGUUCAGAGAGCAGGUCCGCUUCUCGAAGCGCGUUCGCCGUGCUUCGCUGAUGGUGCCAGUAUUGGCCAAGAAGUCCAGGAGUAUCCUGGGGUGCUUCAGGAACAGCAAUGCCAGCACCUCGGGGGAUUGAUCCUAUCUCUCUGCUCAGCCCUGGCGAGGCUGCAUGUGCAGUGCUGUGUCCAGUCUGGGCUCCUCAGGACAGGAAGACAUGGACCAGUGGAAAGUUGAUUACAUGAUUAAGGGACUGGGACCAUCUGCCUUGUAAAGAAUGUCUGAGGGAGCUGCACCUGGUCAGGCUCAAAAAGAGAAGGCAGAGAGAAUCUUAUCAAUAUAUUCAAAUAUCAGACAGGAGGAUACCAAAAGGAUGGAGCCAAACUCCUGUCGGUAGUGCCCGGCAACAGGACAAAGGGCAACAGGCAGAAACUGUAACACAGGGAGCUCGGCCUGAACAUGAGGAAGAACUUCUUUACUGUACAGGUUACUGUACAGGUUACUGAGCACUGGGACAGAUUGCCCAGAGAGGAUGUGGAAUCCAUGGAAAUAUUCAAGAACCGUCUGGACACGAUCCUGUCCAGUGUGUUCCCCAUCCUGCUUGAGUGGGGAGGUUGCAUCAGAUGAUCUACAGAGAUCCCUUCCAGCCCUACAUAUUAUGAAAUCCUGUGUUUUAGCCAUGACCUAUACAGAGUCUGGGCUCCAGAGUGGUCCCGUGGACAAUGUUUGUGCAGCUGACAGUGUCUGCAAUGUGAGAAGGAUUGGCGGGGAGUCACAGGAUUUCGGAGUUUGGCGCCUCAGUAUGUCAGUGGGUGCCUUGGAUAUAUGUGUAACUGGGAGCAAGAGUGAGCUGUCAGGUAGAAACCAGUCCAAGCAGCAAAGCUGA
This 1092-nucleotide long non-coding RNA is filed under the name Cyanistes caeruleus (blue tit). Its description in RNAcentral is "lncRNA (ENSCCEG00000015201.1)". The record is from RNAcentral. Lineage: Eukaryota; Metazoa; Chordata; Aves; Passeriformes; Paridae.